This is a long non-coding RNA of Drosophila santomea, 993 nucleotides long. RefSeq lists it as uncharacterized. Lineage: Eukaryota; Metazoa; Arthropoda; Insecta; Diptera; Drosophilidae. The record is from RefSeq and is a predicted model, not a curated record. The transcript is spliced from 3 exons.
UCAAAUACAAUAUCCAAGGUGUUAAAAUUUGUUCUUUUAAACAUCAUACAAUAUUUGCUUACAACAUCUUUACAAGUCUCGAAAGCUGAACUACAUUUGACAUAUACGCAAAUGACACAUUUGUUGUUUUAUUUUAUAUUCGAUCUUAACGGUUUUCACAAUUAGGAAAUAUCAAAUAUAUUUGUUUUUAAUCUGAAAAAUUUUAAUUUUAAAUGGGAACCAUAUUUUUUACAUCUGGCAAUGCCUCAGAUAGAUGGAAAGGCCAAAAGAAGGGGGCGCGGGCGUUAGAGAGCAGCUGGCGAUUUGUUUGAAAACAGUGAAUUGUUUAUGAGCUUUUCGCGAAUACGCUCGAGUGGCUGAGAAACCUUUUCAACCUGCUAAUGCUAACAAACUUGAACAGCGGCGGGAAUCAAUUAGCUGCUUGCAAGGCCUUAAAUGCGGUGAAAAUCACAUCCUGGGAAUCGAAACAAAGUCUUCAUUCAGAGUGCUCCUCCCAGCAAAUUGCAGCAAUAAAAUUGAAGAAAUGUCCAAUGGGACUGUGAAAAACGGACGGGCAAGUGGAAAUGAAAAUGGCAGGAGGACGGGAAUGAGGAACCCACUGCCAGUCUGUUUGCUCCUGUCAACUUUCAUUCGCAGCCGCCCGUUGAUUACAGAGCCCCAUUUCAGUCAAGUGCCCCCAUAUAUUCCGCAUUUUCCCCGCAUUUCCCCCUUAAUUCGAAGUCAAGCGGAAUAACAACAGCAACACUUGCCGCAGGAUUUUAGGGGAAUGGCGUAAAAAAGCAAAAGUGUCGUCGAGUCCAUAAUGAGCAGAAGAAAUUCGCGUGGCGCGAUAAGUGACAAAAGGCCGGGAAAUAGGAGAUCGGGAGUGGUUAUUAUCCAAAAAGGGAGGCAGUGCAUCCUAACUUCUGGCGGAGCAGUGGCAUCAUAUGGCAAAACAUCUGCAAUUUCUCAACCUCUGUCAGAAACAUUAAAGUUCAAGCGAAUUUGAAAUGA